Molecule: unclassified non-coding RNA, 337 nt
Filed under: soil metagenome
Description: partial contains 5.8S ribosomal RNA, internal transcribed spacer 2, and large subunit ribosomal RNA
Rfam family: 5.8S ribosomal RNA (bases 1-120)
Source: RNAcentral
GAUGAAGAACGCAGCGAAAUGCGAUAAGUAGUGUGAAUUGCAGAAUUCAGUGAAUCAUCGAAUCUUUGAACGCACAUUGCGCCCCUUGGUAUUCCAUGGGGCAUGCCUGUUCGAGCGUCAUUUGUACCCUCAAGCUUUGCUUGGUGUUGGGUGUUUGUCUCGCCUCUGCGUGUAGACUCGCCUUAAAACAAUUGGCAGCCGGCGUAUUGAUUUCGGAGCGCAGUACAUCUCGCGCUUUGCACUCAUAACGACGACGUCCAAAAGUACAUUUUUACACUCUUGACCUCGGAUCAGGUAGGGAUACCCGCUGAACUUAAGCAUAUCAAUAAGCGGAGGA